This 205-nucleotide long non-coding RNA is filed under the name Fukomys damarensis (Damara mole-rat). RNAcentral describes it as "lncRNA (ENSFDAG00000028549.1)". The record is from RNAcentral. Lineage: Eukaryota; Metazoa; Chordata; Mammalia; Rodentia; Bathyergidae.
GUUAUGCUACGUUUAGUUUAGCCUAAAUGAAUGUACGGCCACGUACAGCAGUGCUCUAGCCUUCACAUCGCACUCCCUCCUGACUCACUGAUGAACCAGAGCAACUUUUUCAUCUGCAAGCUCCACUUGAGAUACGUUUAGCCAGUACUUGCCAUCGUAUUAAAUCUCCUAGCCAGGUGUCAUGGAGCACGCCUGUAAUCCCAGC